RNAcentral lists this ribosomal RNA (253 nucleotides) under uncultured bacterium. Its description in RNAcentral is "partial 16S ribosomal RNA". It matches the Rfam family "Bacterial small subunit ribosomal RNA", at positions 524 to 776 of the family's 1533-position model. The record is from RNAcentral.
UACGUAGGUGACAAGCGUUGUCCGGAUUUACUGGGCGUAAAGAGCGCGCAGGCGGUCGAUCAAGUCGAGUGUGAAAGCCCCCGGCUCAACUGGGGAGGGUCAUUCGAUACUGAUCGACUCGAAGGCAGGAGAGGGAUGUAGAAUUCCAGGUGUAGCGGUGAAAUGCGUAGAUAUCUGGAGGAAUACCGGUGGCGAAGGCGGCAUCCUGGACCAUUACUGACGCUGAGGCGCGAAAGCUAGGGGAGCAAACGGG